UCCCCAGCCGGACCGAGCCGCUGGGCAGCCCUGCGAAAGGGGGUCUGGCUCAAGUCCAAGCACAAGCCGGGGUCCCGUGCACGUACUGCCUCCCCCGCGAUCUAGUUCUUACUGGCUUAGGUGGCGUAGACGCGGCCCCGGGGGAAUAGAGCCGCCCACCUCCCCUUUCACCAAAUGGAUGGAGAUGGAAAUUGGUGCAGAGAAGUGGGGCGAUGCUGUAACAAACACCUGCGAAGUGCGGACGUGGCUCUGGAACCGGGUCGGCAGAGGCCGGAGGCGUUCUGAGGAGCUGGAGAAAGCGCACAGCUGUGCAUGGACCCGUAGUGUGGGAAUGUGUCAGCGUUGUACCUGGGAAGCACAUCACUUGUGUGGCUUCAGAGGUUCCCAGCCGGAGAGGAGUCCGCUUCAGGAGGAAUCCUACCUCUGGUCCAGCUUUGGCCUUUUAGAUCAAGACGUUUCUUCUACAGACCACUUGGGGAAGACAGGUGAUAUCAGAGAAGAAAGUUUCCUGCUCUUGCCCCCUAGAGACAAUCGCCUUCCACUUACCCUGUCUCCAGAGGAAUGGCCACCUCAUUUUUCGGACUCCCCUCCUGUGGCCUUUCAGACAUCUGCGUGCGGGGCCAUGCCCUCACGGUCUGCGGGCCCCCUCCCUACGAACCAGAUGCCCUGUCAGGCUGCCACCUCCUUCCUACUUCCCUGGAGAGGAUCUUGUGGUUUCUCAACAGCCUGCCCACCAGCUCUUGUAGACAAAUCCCACACUGGCUGA
This 766-nucleotide long non-coding RNA is filed under the name Ursus maritimus (polar bear). RNAcentral describes it as "lncRNA (ENSUMAG00000025032.1)". The record is from RNAcentral. Lineage: Eukaryota; Metazoa; Chordata; Mammalia; Carnivora; Ursidae.